UACGUAGGCAGCGAGCGUUGUUCGGAGUUACCGGGCGUAAAGGGUGUGUAGGCGGUCUUUUAAGUUUGGUGUGAAAUCUCCCGGCUCAACCGGGAGGGUGCGCCGAAUACUGAGAGACUUGGAGUGCGGGAGAGGAAAGUGGAAUUCCUGGUGUAGCGGUGAAAUGCGUAGAUAUCAGGAGGAACACCGGUGGUGUAGACGGCUUUCUGGACCGUAACUGACGCUGAGACACGAAAGCGUGGGUAGCAAACAGG
RNAcentral lists this ribosomal RNA (254 nucleotides) under uncultured bacterium. RNAcentral describes it as "partial 16S ribosomal RNA". It matches the Rfam family "Bacterial small subunit ribosomal RNA", at positions 524 to 776 of the family's 1533-position model. The record is from RNAcentral.